UAGAGUUUGAUCCUGGCUCAGAUUGAACGCUGGCGGCAGGCUUAACACAUGCAAGUCGAACGGUAACAUUUCUAGCUUGCUAGAAGAUGACGAGUGGCGGACGGGUGAGUAAUGCUUGGGAACAUGCCAAGUGGUGGGGGACAACAGUUGGAAACGACUGCUAAUACCGCAUAAUCUCUUUCUUUUAUAAGGAGGAGCAAAGCGGGGGACCUUCGGGCCUCGCGCCAUUUGAGUGGCCCAAGUGGGAUUAGCUAGUUGGUAAGGUAACGGCUUACCAAGGCGACGAUCCCUAGCUGGUCUUAGAGGAUGACCAGCCACACUGGAACUGAGACACGGUCCAGACUCCUACGGGAGGCAGCAGCGGGGAAUAUUGCACAAUGGAGGAAACUCUGAUGCAGCCAUGCCGCGUGUGUGAAGAAGGCUUUCGGGUUGUAAAGCACUUUCAGCGAGGAGGAAAGGUUAUUGCUUAAUAGGUAAUAUCUGUGACGUUACUCGCAGAAGAAGCACCGGCUAACUCCGUGCCAGCAGCCGCGGUAAUACGGAGGGUGCGAGCGUUAAUCGGAAUUACUGGGCGUAAAGCGCGCGUAGGUGGUUAAUUAAGUCAGAUGUGAAAGCCCAGGGCUCAACCUUGGAACUGCAUUUGAAACUGAUUGACUAGAGUUUUGUAGAGGGUGGUAGAAUUUCAGGUGUAGCGGUGAAAUGCGUAGAGAUCUGAAGGAAUACCAGUGGCGAAGGCGGCCACCUGGACAAAGACUGACACUGAGGCGCGAAGGCGUGGGUAGCAAACGGGAUUAGAUACCCCGGUAGUCCACGCAGUAAACGAUGUCUAUUAGAAGUUUGUGGCUAUAUGCCGUGGGUUUCAAAGCUAACGCAUUAAAUAGACCGCCUGGGGAGUACGGCCGCAAGGUUAAAACUCAAAUGAAUUGACGGGGGCCCGCACAAGCGGUGGAGCAUGUGGUUUAAUUCGAUGCAACGCGAAGAACCUUACCAUCCCUUGACAUCCAGAGAAUCACCUAGAGAUAGAAGAGUGCCUUCGGGAGCUCUGAGACAGGUGCUGCAUGGCUGUCGUCAGCUCGUGUUGUGAAAUGUUGGGUUAAGUCCCGCAACGAGCGCAACCCUUAUCCUUAGUUGCCAGCACGUAAAGGUGGGAACUUUAGGGAGACUGCCGGUGAUAAACCGGAGGAAGGUGGGGACGACGUCAAGUCAUCAUGGCCCUUACGGGAUGGGCUACACACGUGCUACAAUGGCAGAUACAAAGGGAAGCUAACCUGCGAAGGUAUGCGGAUCUCAUAAAGUUUGUCGUAGUCCGGAUCGGAGUCUGCAACUCGACUCCGUGAAGUUGGAAUCGCUAGUAAUCGUGGAUCAGAAUGCCACGGUGAAUACGUUUCCGGGCCUUGUACACACCGCCCGUCACACCAUGGGAGUGGGCUGCACCAGAAGUCAUUAGCUUAACCUUUUAGGAGGAUGGCGAUGACCACGGUGUGGUUCAUGACUGGGGUGAAGUCGUAACAAGGUAACCG
RNAcentral lists this ribosomal RNA (1520 nucleotides) under uncultured Psychromonas sp. RNAcentral's name for it is "bacterial SSU rRNA". It matches the Rfam family "Bacterial small subunit ribosomal RNA". Lineage: Bacteria; Pseudomonadati; Pseudomonadota; Gammaproteobacteria; Alteromonadales; Psychromonadaceae. The record is from RNAcentral.